This 1285-nucleotide long non-coding RNA is filed under the name Pelobates cultripes (western spadefoot toad). Lineage: Eukaryota; Metazoa; Chordata; Amphibia; Anura; Pelobatidae. The record is from RNAcentral.
GCACUCUCUCCUUGGCUGUCUGUCUAUUUUCCCUUCACUGGGCUGUCUCAGUGUGUAUGUGCUCUCUCUCCUGGGCUGUCUGUUUUUUUUUGUUUGUUUUUUUCCUUUCCUGGGCUGUCUCUCUGUGUCCAUGCACUGCACUCUCUCCUUGGCUGUCUCGGUCUUUCUGUGCAUUCUUUUCUGGGUUAUCUUCCUAUUUUCCCUUUACUGGGCUAUAUCGCUCAGUCUGUGAACUCUUGUCUCUUUGGCUGUCUAGCUCUGUCUGUUUUCUUUCUCUCUCUCUCUCUCUUUGUCUUUGUCUUUGUCUUUGUCUUUGUCUUUGUCUUUGUCUUUGUCUUUGUCUUUGUCUUGGUGUGUCUGUGCACUCUCUCCUGGGUUGUCUCGGUGUGUCUGUGCACUCUCUCCUAGGUUGUCUCUCUCUUUAAUUAGUUCAUAAUACUCUCUCGGUCUGUAAGGUGUCUGUACACUCUGUCCUGGGCUGUCUCGCUCUGUAAUUAGUUAAUACUCUCUCUCUUGGUCUGUAAGGUGUGUCUGUGCACUCUCUCCUGGGCUGUCUCACUCUGUAAUUAGUUAAUACUCUCUCUUGGUCUGUCUGUGCACUCUGUCCUGGGCUGUCUCGCUCUGUAAUUAGUUAAUACUCUCUCUUGGUCUGUCUGUGCACUCUGUCCUGGGCUGUCUCGCUCUGUAAUUAGUUCAUACUCUCUCUCUUGGUCUGUAAGGUGUGUCUGUGCACUCUGUCCUGGGCUGUCUCGCUCUGUAAUUAGUUCAUACUCUCUCUCUUGGUCUGUAAGGUGUGUCUGUGCACUCUCUCCUGGGCUGUCUCGCUCUGUAAUUAGUUCAUACUCUCUCUCUCGGUCUGUAAGGUGUGUCUGUGCUCUCUGUCCUGGGCUGUCUCGCUCUGUAAUUAGUUAAUACUCUCUCUCUCGGUCUGUAAGGUGUGUCUGUGCACUCUCUCCUGGGCUGUCUCGCUCUGUAAUUAGUUCAUACUCUCUCUCUUGGUCUGUAAGGUGUGUCUGUGCACUCUCUCCUGGGCUGUCUCGCUCUGUAAUUAGUUCAUACUCUCUCUCUUGGUCUGUAAGGUGUGUCUGUGCACUCUCUCCUGGGCUGUCUUGCUCUGUAGUUAGUUCAUACUCUCUCUCUUGGUCUGUAAGGUGUGUCUGUGCACUCUCUCCUGGGCUGUCUCGCUCUGUAAUUAGUUCAUACUCUCUCUCUUGGUCUGUAAGGUGCGUCUGUGCACUCUCUCCUGGGCUGUCUCGCUCUGUAAUUAGUUCAUACUCUCUCUCUU